AAAUAAUAAUCAGUAGCCUUGAUAUUGAACAAAACUGGAAGUGACAAUUGGCAAUUUUUAACGGCUUUCAUGAAUUCCAAAUAAUGUCUUGCCAAAAUCGAAGCCGAACCUGCCACGACCAGGGACAACAAAAUAUUCAGUAUCGUUGGGAUCGAUAUAUUCUAGGAUCGGCUCUAAAAUCGAACAAUUUGUCUUAUCUUUCCAAAAUCGGAUGUUCUUCGUAAUUGUUAUUUAA
Molecule: small RNA, 235 nt
Filed under: Drosophila virilis
Lineage: Eukaryota; Metazoa; Arthropoda; Insecta; Diptera; Drosophilidae
Description: GJ26174
Source: RNAcentral